GACGAACGCUGGCGGCGUGCCUAAUACAUGCAAGUUGAGCGCUGAAGGUUGGUACUUGUACCAACUGGAUGAGCAGCGAACGGGUGAGUAACGCGUGGGGAAUCUGCCUUUGAGCGGGGGACAACAUUUGGAAACGAAUGCUAAUACCGCAUAAAAACUUUAAACACAAGUUUUAAGUUUGAAAGAUUCAAUUGCAUCACUCAAAGAUGAUCCCGCGUUGUAUUAGCUAGUUGGUGAGGUAAAGGCUCACCAAGGCGAUGAUACAUAGCCGACCUGAGAGGGUGAUCGGCCACAUUGGGACUGAGACACGGCCCAAACUCCUACGGGAGGCAGCAGUAGGGAAUCUUCGGCAAUGGACGAAAGUCUGACCGAGCAACGCCGCGUGAGUGAAGAAGGUUUUCGGAUCGUAAAACUCUGUUGGUAGAGAAGAACGUUGGUGAGAGUGGAAAGCUCAUCAAGUGACGGUAACUACCCAGAAGGGGACGGCUAACUACGUG
Molecule: ribosomal RNA, 497 nt
Filed under: uncultured bacterium
Lineage: Bacteria
Description: partial 16S ribosomal RNA
Rfam family: Bacterial small subunit ribosomal RNA
Source: RNAcentral